This 253-nucleotide ribosomal RNA is filed under the name uncultured bacterium. RNAcentral describes it as "partial 16S ribosomal RNA". It matches the Rfam family "Bacterial small subunit ribosomal RNA", at positions 524 to 776 of the family's 1533-position model. The record is from RNAcentral.
UACGUAGGUGGCAAGCGUUGUCCGGAAUUAUUGGGCGUAAAGCGCGCGCAGGCGGUCCUUUAAGUCUGAUGUGAAAGCCCACGGCUCAACCGUGGAGGGUCAUUGGAAACUGGGGGACUUGAGUACAGAAGAGAAGAGUAGAAUUCCACGUGUAGCGGUGAAAUGCGUAGAGAUGUGGAGGAACACCAGUGGCGAAGGCGACUCUUUGGUCUGUAACUGACGCUGAGGCGCGAAAGCGUGGGGAGCAAACAGG